This 253-nucleotide ribosomal RNA is filed under the name uncultured bacterium. RNAcentral's name for it is "partial 16S ribosomal RNA". It matches the Rfam family "Bacterial small subunit ribosomal RNA", at positions 524 to 776 of the family's 1533-position model. The record is from RNAcentral.
UACAGAGGGUGCAAGCGUUAAUCGGAAUUACUGGGCGUAAAGCGCACGUAGGUGGUUUGUUAAGCCAGCUGUGAAAUCCCCGGGCUCAACCUGGGCACUGCAGUUGGAACUGGCAAGCUAGAGUAGGGUAGAGGGGUGUGGAAUUCCAGGUGUAGCGGUGAAAUGCGUAGAUAUCUGGAGGAACAUCAGUGGCGAAGGCGACACCCUGGACUCAUACUGACACUGAGGUGCGAAAGCGUGGGGAGCAAGCAGG